This 450-nucleotide ribosomal RNA is filed under the name Burkholderia sp. MRhNF2(8). RNAcentral describes it as "bacterial SSU rRNA". It matches the Rfam family "Bacterial small subunit ribosomal RNA", at positions 48 to 495 of the family's 1533-position model. The record is from RNAcentral. Lineage: Bacteria; Pseudomonadati; Pseudomonadota; Betaproteobacteria; Burkholderiales; Burkholderiaceae.
CUUACCAUGCAGUCGAACGGCAGCGCGGGAGCAAUCCUGGCGGCGAGUGGCGAACGGGUGAGUAAUACAUCGGAACGUGUCCUGUAGUGGGGGAUAGCCCGGCGAAAGCCGGAUUAAUACCGCAUACGCUCUACGGAGGAAAGGGGGGGAUCUUAGGACCUCUCGCUACAGGGGCGGCCGAUGGCGGAUUAGCUAGUUGGUGGGGUAAAGGCCUACCAAGGCGACGAUCCGUAGCUGGUCUGAGAGGACGACCAGCCACACUGGGACUGAGACACGGCCCAGACUCCUACGGGAGGCAGCAGUGGGGAAUUUUGGACAAUGGGGGCAACCCUGAUCCAGCAAUGCCGCGUGUGUGAAGAAGGCCUUCGGGUUGUAAAGCACUUUUGUCCGGAAAGAAAUCAUCCUGGUUAAUACCUGGGGUGGAUGACGGUACCGGAAGAAUAAGCACCG